Molecule: non-coding RNA, 75 nt
Organism: Oryza glaberrima (African rice)
Lineage: Eukaryota; Viridiplantae; Streptophyta; Magnoliopsida; Poales; Poaceae
Source: Rfam
CCGCCGGAUCUCCUAGUGAGGAGGCCGGGACCGCCGGAUCCGGUGACCCCGGUCUCCUCGCCGGUGGAUCCGGCG